Camarhynchus parvulus is the source of this 71-nucleotide microRNA precursor. The record is from Ensembl. NCBI's taxonomy places the organism in Eukaryota, Metazoa, Chordata, Aves, Passeriformes, Thraupidae.
ACAGACUGGGAAAUCUCUGCAGGCAAGUGUGAUGUCUUUAUAGCAAUCUCACAAUUACCUGUAGAGAUUCU